AUGCGCUCGCAAGUUGAUCUUAUGAUCGAGGGAGUUCCUUCCCAUGCAUGGACGACGGAGACUGUGGCUGAGUUACUUGGUUCGGUGUGCUUGAUUGAGAGUAUGGUGCCAGAAACUGAGAACAGAGAAGAUCUCUCCCUCUUCAAGUUGCGAGCUUGGUGCGUCGACCCGGAGGAGGUGCCGAUGGACAAGCGCCUCUGGGUGCCCGAGCCGGAAAUGAAUGUAGGGCCGGGCGCACGAAUGCCUAUGUCCCGGGCAUUGCUGGAGUACAAAACCUUCAUACACAUCGGGAGAAUCCAUGAUCAUGAGGGUCUUGAGCGUUGGUUGAGACCGCCUAGCUCAAAUGGAAGCGGACAAAGUGAAAUGCCGAAGGACUUUGGGGACUACUCUGGCCAGGGCGAAUGGCGUGUGCUGCCAUGGACUAGGGGCGUUCGUGAUCACCGUGGUGGUGCACCGGCUGGUGGCGCCACAGGUCGCUCAUACAGACAGGCCCUUGUUGGGCGCAUUGGGCCAUCGAACUGGCAGAUCCCACCGAUGGCCUCUCGCAUGGCGACGAUGGCAUGCGCGCUCAGUGGCAGUACCAUGGGGACUGUGACGAAUCAGAAUCAGGACGAGGUGGCCGCCGCCGCACGCGCUCCACCAGCGCUGCAGCCGCUGUUGGCCACAGAAGAUCCGGGGAGGAGUUCAGGAGUAAGGCCUGCACAUGCUCAGGUGGUGGCCAAUCCGGCGCAGCUCUCUGUGCUGGGGCAGGAUAAGGUCACUUUUGACCAGGUAGAGAUAAGGAUUGGAGCCAACUAG
This 798-nucleotide ribosomal RNA is filed under the name Triticum aestivum (bread wheat). RNAcentral's name for it is "partial small subunit ribosomal RNA". Lineage: Eukaryota; Viridiplantae; Streptophyta; Magnoliopsida; Poales; Poaceae. The record is from RNAcentral.